UAGUGAUUUCAGCUCUUUUUGUAUUUGUCUAGCAGGCUUUCUGCUUUCGCGGAGAGCCUUU
This 61-nucleotide small nuclear RNA is filed under the name Pogona vitticeps (central bearded dragon). RNAcentral's name for it is "U7 small nuclear RNA (ENSPVIG00000012561.1)". It matches the Rfam family "U7 small nuclear RNA". Rfam says of the family: Animal histone pre-mRNAs are spliced by a different mechanism than nuclear pre-mRNAs and self-splicing introns. This processing involves the U7 snRNP, which contains only one RNA species: U7. The 5' end of U7 RNA is thought to base-pair to a conserved spacer element downstream of the cleavage site in histone pre-mRNA. Lineage: Eukaryota; Metazoa; Chordata; Lepidosauria; Squamata; Agamidae. The record is from Rfam by way of RNAcentral.